Molecule: ribosomal RNA, 393 nt
Filed under: uncultured bacterium
Lineage: Bacteria
Description: partial 16S ribosomal RNA
Rfam family: Bacterial small subunit ribosomal RNA
Source: RNAcentral
AUACGGAGGAUGCGAGCGUUAUCCGGAUUUAUUGGGCUUAAAGGGUGCGUAGGCUGUGCGUUAAGUCAGGGGUGAAAUGCCGUCGCUCAACGACGGAGCUGCCCUUGAUACUGGCGUGCUGGAGUACGGAUGCCGUUGAAGGAAUGAGUGGUGUAGCGGUGAAAUGCUUAGAUAUCACUCAGAACACCGAUUGCGAAGGCAUCUGACGAAUCCGUCACUGACGCUGAGGCACGAAAGCGUGGGGAUAGAACAGGAUUAGAUACCCUGGUAUUCCACGCCGUAAACGAUGAUGACUAACCGUCGGCGAUAGACAGCCGGUGGCCAAGCGAAAGCGAUAAGUCAUCCACCUGGGGAGUACGUCGGCAACGAUGAAACUCAAAUGAAUUGACGGGG